Molecule: ribosomal RNA, 678 nt
Filed under: uncultured Nitrospirota bacterium
Lineage: Bacteria; Pseudomonadati; Nitrospirota
Description: bacterial SSU rRNA
Rfam family: Bacterial small subunit ribosomal RNA
Source: RNAcentral
AGAGUUUGAUCCUGGCUCAGAACGAACGCUGGCGGCGCGCCUAAUACAUGCAAGUCGAGCGGGAAGACGUAGCAAUACGUUUGUAAAGCGGCGAACGGGUGAGGAAUACAUGGGUAACCUACCCUCGAGUGGGGAAUAACUAGCCGAAAGGUUAGCUAAUACCGCAUACGCUUCCCGGACUGCGGUUCGGGAAAGAAAGCGAUACCGUGGGUAUCGCGCUCUUGGAUGGGCUCAUGUCCUAUCAGCUUGUUGGUGAGGUAAUGGCUCACCAAGGCUUCGACGGGUAGCUGGUCUGAGAGGACGAUCAGCCACACUGGCACUGCGACACGGGCCAGACUCCUACGGGAGGCAGCAGUAAGGAAUAUUGCGCAAUGGACGAAAGUCUGACGCAGCGACGCCGCGUGGGGGAUGAAGGUCUUCGGAUUGUAAACCCCUUUCGGCAGGGAAGAUGGAACGGGCAACCGUUCGGACGGUACCUGCAGAAGCAGCCACGGCUAACUUCGUGCCAGCAGCCGCGGUAAUACGAAGGUGGCAAGCGUUGUUCGGAUUCACUGGGCGUACAGGGAGCGUAGGCGGUUAGGUAAGCCCUCCGUGAAAAUCUCCGGGCCUAACCCGGAAAGUGCAGAGGGGACUGCUUGGCUAGAGGAUGGGAGAGGAGCGCGGAAUUCCCGGUGUAGC